This is a long non-coding RNA of Zerene cesonia (dogface butterfly), 396 nucleotides long. RefSeq lists it as uncharacterized. The transcript is spliced from 3 exons. The record is from RefSeq and is a predicted model, not a curated record. Lineage: Eukaryota; Metazoa; Arthropoda; Insecta; Lepidoptera; Pieridae.
AAUACUAUCAGAUAUUCGUCAACAGUGUUAGCCUUGCUCUCGAUCUUGAAUAGUUUUUGCAGAUUAAAUCUAGUAUAAAACGCAGUGCAAGCAAUGCUAUUGCAUAGUUUAGAUAGACUGUAAGCAGAAACAUCAUGCCAUCCCCCUGUGAGCCCUGCAAAGAAACCUGCCAAGAAGGGGCCUGUGAAGAUAAGUGCGCUUGCAAGGAAAAGGGUUGUAACGACUGUUCUUCUACAGGGGGCUGUUGCUAAUAACCAACAUGGACAGAGCUGAUGCCGGCCAGCAUGACUCAAGAAUUACGAAGAUCCUGGAAGCUUUCUUCCCAAUUUCUUUUUCUGUUGUAUUCCUGAUUACUAUUGUUCUGUUUUACUGUCUAAUAUAGUUUUGUUGAACUUA